AUUGAACGCUGGCGGCAGGCCUAACACAUGCAAGUCGAGCGGAUGAAGGGAGCUUGCUCCUGGAUUCAGCGGCGGACGGGUGAGUAAUGCCUAGGAAUCUGCCUGGUAGUGGGGGAUAACGUCCGGAAACGGGCGCUAAUACCGCAUACGUCCUGAGGGAGAAAGUGGGGGAUCUUCGGACCUCACGCUAUCAGAUGAGCCUAGGUCGGAUUAGCUAGUUGGUGGGGUAAAGGCCUACCAAGGCGACGAUCCGUAACUGGUCUGAGAGGAUGAUCAGUCACACGGGGAAUGAGACAAGGCCAAGACUCCUACGGGAGGCAGCAGUAGGGAAGCUUGGGCAAUGGACGAAAGUCUGAACGAGCAACGCCGCGGGAGUGAAGAAGGUUUUCGGAUCGUAAAAAUCUGUUGUUAGAGAAGAACAAGGACGUGAGUAACUGAACGGCCCGUGACGGUAGCUAACCAGAAAGCCACGGCUAACUACGUG
Molecule: ribosomal RNA, 484 nt
Filed under: uncultured bacterium
Lineage: Bacteria
Description: partial 16S ribosomal RNA
Rfam family: Bacterial small subunit ribosomal RNA
Source: RNAcentral